AGCAGCCGCGGUAAUUCCAGCUCCAAUAGCGUAUAUUAAAGUUGCUGCAGUUAAAAAGCUCGUAGUUGAAUUUCGGGAUCAAUAUGUUGGUCGUGCCUUGGUACGUACUAGCUUAUUGAUUUCUCCUUUCUGACGAACCAUGAUGUCAUUAAUUUGGUGUCAUGGGGAAUCAGGACUGUUACUUUGAAAAAAUUGAGUGUUUAAAGCAGGCUCGCGCUUGAAUACAUUAGCAUGGAAUAAUGAAAUAGGACAUUUGAUUCUAUUUUGUGGUUUCUAGGAUCGAUGUAAUGAUUAAUAGGGAUAGUUGGGGGCAUUAGUAUUCAAUUGUCAGAGUGAAAUUCUUGGAUUUAUGAAGACUAACUACUGCGAAAGCAUCUGCCAAGGAUGUUUUCAUUAAUCAAGACGAAAGUUAGGGGAUCGAGGACGAUCAGAUACCGUCGUAGUCUUAACCAUAAACUAUGCCGACUAGGGAUCGGAUGAUGUUAAAUUUUU
Molecule: ribosomal RNA, 492 nt
Filed under: uncultured Glomus
Lineage: Eukaryota; Fungi; Glomeromycota; Glomeromycetes; Glomerales; Glomeraceae
Description: SSU rRNA
Rfam family: Eukaryotic small subunit ribosomal RNA
Source: RNAcentral